Long non-coding RNA from Mauremys reevesii (Reeves's turtle), 482 nucleotides. RefSeq lists it as uncharacterized. The transcript has 2 exons. The record is from RefSeq and is a predicted model, not a curated record. NCBI's taxonomy places the organism in Eukaryota, Metazoa, Chordata, Testudines, Geoemydidae.
CCGAGGAUAGGAAGAAAUAGAGCCAUCCCAUUAAUUUCUGCAUAACUGACUGGGGGGAAAGGUGAUCUUCCUCCAGCAGUGCCCUCCUAUCAGCUUGCCUUGGAAGUGAUUCAGGCAGGGUAAUCCUCUUCACAGCAGAGCCUUCGUACCAGGCAGCUGGGACUCCAGACUCAUGAGCAGCUAACGCUACCACAUGCUGAUCCCUGCUGUUGGACCACAUUUGGAAGGGCAGUAACAGCUUCUGGAGGGAGCCCCCAGCAACACUUCAUGGCCAGACUGAUGCCUAGUGAUGAUGAGGUGGGGAAAGGCAUCAACAAAGGCACUCAGAGAACCACACCCCCAUGGUGCUCAGCUGAAAAGCAUCAAGGGUAUGACAGCCCAGAUCAGGCUGGGACUUGUGAGAGCUGGGUUCAGUUCCCUGAUCCACCACAGAGCUCCUGGUUACAAUGUACAAUGGGAAUAAACUGGGCUGUUUAACAGUC